GCUCCACAACCACCAUCAACCCCGCCCCCCCCCACUGAGACAACCCUCUCCAACCCACCCAAGACAACAACCUCAGCCGCAAGGACCUCCACCACCAGCACCCCAACCACCAAUACCCCAAUCACCAGCCCCGCCCCGUCCACUAAGACUAGCAUCAUCCCCCCAACCACAAAGACUAGCAUCAUCCCCCCAACCACUAAGACUAGCAUCAUCCCCCCAACCACUAAGACUAGCAUCAUCCCCCCAACCACUAAGACUAGCAUCAUCCCCCCAACCACUAAGACUACCAACAUCCCCCCAACCACUAAGACCACCUCACACACAAAGACCUCCACCACCAACAGCACCCAACCCUCUCUCACCCCAACCACUCAACCCACCACCACUUUCCCCACCUCAUCUAUCACCUCCACCACCCCACUCAGCAACUCUACACAACACCCUGUCGGCCCCAUCCACUCAGCCACAAACACCACCACCACCUCACCCACCAACACCACCACCAGCCCACCCAGCAACACUUCACAACACUCUGUUGGCCCCAUCCACUCACCCACAAACACCAUCACCACCCCAACCACAAAGACCAUCGCUGCUAUUUCACCCACCACCACCACCACCACCACCACCACCACCUCAGCCACCAACAGCACCACCAACUCACCCACAAACCCCACAGCAUCACCCAGCAACACCAUCACCAUCUCACCUAGCAACACCACCACCACCCCAGCCACCAGCAACACCACCAUCCCACAGACAAAGACCAUCACUACUACCUCUAACAACACCACCAGCACCACCCUUACCAGCAACACUACACAACCCUCUGUCGGCCGAAUCGACUCACCCACCAACCCCACAACAACACCCAACAACACCACCAACAACUCACCCAUCAACACCACCACCACCUCACCAACCAACACCACCACCACCUCACCCACCAACCCCACAACAACACCCAACAACACCACCACCACCGCACCUAUCAACACCAAAACAACACCCAACAACGCCACCAACAACUCACCCAUCAACACCAUCACCACCACCUCACCCACCAACGUCACCACCACCUCACCCACCAACACCACCACCACCGCACCUAUCAACACCAAAACAACACCCAACAACGCCACCAACAACUCACCCAUCAACACCAUCACCACCACCUCACCCACCAACGUCACCACCACCUCACCCACCAACACCACCACCACCACCUCAGCCACCAACACCACCACCACCUCACCCACCAACACCGACACCACCUCACCCACCAAAACCACCACCACCACCACCACCUCACCAACCGACACCACCACCACCUCACUACCCAAAACCACCACCACCACCUCACCAACCACCACCACCACCACCUCACCAACCAACACCACCACCACCUCACCCACCAACACCACCACCACCUCCCCAACCAACACAACCACCACCUCACCCACCAACACCACCACCACCUCACCCACCAACACCCCCACCUCAAACUUAAACGAUACAGGUGUGUGUAAAAACAUAUGUAUGGUAGAUGCAAAAUAUUCUGUUUUUAUUCGUGUUAUUUUUGUUUUGUAA
Long non-coding RNA from Gadus morhua (Atlantic cod), 1590 nucleotides. NCBI's taxonomy places the organism in Eukaryota, Metazoa, Chordata, Actinopteri, Gadiformes, Gadidae. The record is from Ensembl.